Molecule: long non-coding RNA, 2552 nt
Organism: Ostrea edulis (European flat oyster)
Lineage: Eukaryota; Metazoa; Mollusca; Bivalvia; Ostreida; Ostreidae
Exons: 3
Source: RefSeq, a predicted model, not a curated record
UUUUUAGGUUUACAUUACUAGUAUAAAUCCUAUAAUUUGCUCUACUUUUUAAGAUUGCGUCAUACAACGUCGCUAUAUAUUAUUAGAAGUGGUAACGUAUUGUAAAACAUAAUUAUGCAAUGAGUGGUUUAAUAUAUAAUAAGAUCUUGAAAAAGAAAUUUUCUCUCCCAAUACGCAAUAAGGUUAUUUUACUUAUAGCCCGAAUGGCACACCAUAUUUUUCAAUCUCCUUCAUUCGGCCAUUUUCACACACCGCGCCGUUAGCCUGUUUGCGCUGUUCGUGGAAGUUGCAGAGGAUGUACUCAUCGCAUUUCAACGAUGAUAUAAUAUGUACAGCAAAAAUUGAUGGCAAGGGUGACAUGAAUCAGAUUGACAAGAAUCCAUAUAAUGCUAUCAUCACUGCCAUCAGAUUCAUACAUAGCUUCCUUGUUGUGCCUGUGAAUAGCAAGGUACCAGAUUAUACAGCAGUUAUGUGGAACCAGAUUCCCACAAUAGGGGGACCAGAUUGACACCUACAUUGUACAGAAUUAGGCAGUUAUAUCAGAACUUGAAAAACUGGAUCCAAACAAGACUAUAUUGCUUGGAAGAAACAUGUCGACUCUGAAGUUUACCCUUAAUUUCACUUUACCAUUACUCCUAUUUUGAAAUAUAAUGUAUUACAUUACUUGAGAGUGAAUUUACAUUACACAUUUACAUAACAUACUGUCAGAUAUUAAAGAAAUGGCAGAAAAAUUAUGUCUGUAUUAUGAUUUUUAAUUAUACAUUAACAUAAGUACACAAAAUAUUCAGCAAUGUUAGGAAACAUAUCUAUUAAGUUAUUCAUUGCAUUUGAUUGUCAUCAAUGUUUCAAAUGCUUCAGUCAAUCUCACUAAUAAAAUGAAUUAUUCUAAAUCUUCAAAAUAUCAUCAAAUAUUUGAAGUAGUGUAAAUGUAAUGAAAAAUAAUGUGCAGUACAGUAUGCAUUACAUUACCAUUACUUGUAAUGCAAAAAUGGUCCAUUACACCCGCAUUACAUUGAAACUGGCUGUCAUUUAAUUACCAUUACCACAGGCCUGGUUCUGUCGAGAGGUAUUGAAAUUGUCUGUAGAGACUUUGUCUCAGGAAGUGGCCGAGAUUGGUGGUGACAAUUUUGUUGGAUGUGAAUUUACUGACACACAUGUCUACACUUGCUACACAAUAUAUCAUGUGGUGGUUUCAACAAGAAAGUUCUUACUCUGCAGGAAAUGACGAACAGCUAAUGGAUUCACAUUUUUUCUGACUUUUCUUCUGUACAUUAGAUGCAUUGAAAAAACUUUCCUUUCCAUUAUCUUUUGCUGGUUCAUACUUUGAAAUAAAAUCAAGUCCGAAAAUAAAGUAUUUUGGUUGGGUUUUUUCAAUGAAUUUUAAAAAAUGUAAUCUGUAAUCCUUGCAUAUUUUCUUGGUGUUCUGUGAUUGCAUAGGCCUAUUGAUUUUUAUUUGUAUUCAGGUAUAAUUUCAUCUUCAGUGUCUUGAAAGAAAUUAAUUUUUCAAUAAUGCCAAGAAAAAUGUAGUUAACAGUAUGAUUUAAAAAAAAUAUUGACACGGGUAGGAAUUGAAACCGGAUCUCCUGCUUGAAGGACGGGCUCUCUACCACUCAGCCACGGCGUGUAUGACGUCACUUGGUCAAAAAUCCUUUAUACAUUUACUUGCCCUAGUUGGAAAAACACCAGAAUUGGCUAGCUACAGGGCGCCGCCAUUGUGGACACCCAAAGUUGUGCGGAGAAGAAAAGUUGACAGGAGAUCUGAUUGGUCAUUAACAGAAAAUCUUUGUGAUGGAAUUUAAUAGUGAAAUAUAAGUGAUAAAAAUGACAGGUGACAUAACAGAAUAUGUAGAAAGAUACAGAAGUUAUAAGGGAAGAUCUGAGUGGAGAGGUGAUAUUUGGAUGGACAAUUUCAUUCAGUGCGGAUCUACACUAGUUGUAAACAGGCCAAAAUUUGAAGGAAAAACGCAACGGCCAGCCAUAUAUUUUUUGGUGGAAUUUUGAAGGGGAGAUGAUGAACUUUGCUGAAUGGUGACUGAUUUUUUGAAAAUUGGCUUAAUAAAUAAUUGACAGUGAUUGGAAUUUGUAUGGAAGUCUAUGGGAAAACAUUUGGUGGUGUUUGUCCUAUACUGAGGUAGCGAGAACCAGUUUAUGAGAGAAGACUCGGCUGGAGGUGGGGUGUUGGUUGACAUGAGGAUUUUACGAAGAGAAGAACUGCCAAUGGGGAUUUGACUGAGACCUAUUUGUAGGCCAUAGUUUAUUGCUGCUGCUUUCCUUCCCCUGGAACCGGAUUCUACUUCGACAUAGAGGCUAUACAUUUUGGACACGUAGGUGCAGGUGUUACAUUUAAGCCGUAACCUAGUGCCCAGGCCACGCCUCUCUUCAGAGUCCAAGUCCCAGGUUAGGUCACCAUCACAGCCUGGAUUGGCCCGCCCAUGUUCUUUGAACUCUGCGUUGAACAUGCCACAUGUCUUUUCCAGAUGCAGCAGUCUGUAGGAGUCAUUUUCACACCUGCCGAAAUCAGUUAUGUACCUGAUUACUUCCUAACCAGGCAA